UCGAGAAUAUUCCACAAUGGGCGAAAGCCUGAUGGAGCGACGCCGCGUGCAGGAAGAAGGCCUUCGGGUUGUAAACUGCGGUAGUAGGUUAAUAAUUUCGAUGAAUGACCUACGGAAAGAGGUUGGUAACUACGUGCCAGCACCCGCGGUAAUACGUAGACCUCAAGCGUUAUCCGGAUUUAUUGGGCGUAAAGGGUGUGUAGGGGGUUUUGCAAGUCAGAAGUUAAAUCUCAGGGCCUAACCUUGGGACCGCUUUCGAUACUGCAAGACUAGAGGGCGCUAGAGGUCUGUAGAACGCACGGUGUAGGGGUGACAUCCGUUGAUAUCGUGCGGAAUACCAAAGGCGAAGGCAGCAGACUGGGGCGUUCCUGACCCUGAAACACGAAAGCGUGGGGAGCAAAAAGG
This 405-nucleotide ribosomal RNA is filed under the name uncultured bacterium. Its description in RNAcentral is "bacterial SSU rRNA". It matches the Rfam family "Bacterial small subunit ribosomal RNA", at positions 355 to 776 of the family's 1533-position model. The record is from RNAcentral.